RNAcentral lists this long non-coding RNA (2793 nucleotides) under Zea mays. RNAcentral's name for it is "long non-coding RNA (ZMAY_LNC002034)". Lineage: Eukaryota; Viridiplantae; Streptophyta; Magnoliopsida; Poales; Poaceae. The record is from RNAcentral.
UCCACCUUCCCCUGCUCGCCUGCGUGCUCCGGCAACCUUCCCCUGCUCGCCCCCGCUCACCUGCGUGCUCUGGCAACAACCGCUUUCGGACUUCGGUUUCCCUCCACCGGCGCUCCAAAGGUAACCACGCUUCCUCCCUCGCCCCCUCCGUCCACCCCACCCCCUCCACCGUAAUCCGAUUCCCAUUGCUAGGGUUCGUCGUGUUGGGUUGGAGUAAACACGGCAGCGGCAGCGGCUCUUCCCCCUCCCCCUCAUCGGAUUCCUCAUGCUGCGAUUUAUUUAGGGUUUAGGGUUCGUCGUCCGAUUCGUGUGCUUCCCAUUUUUCCCCCAAAGUUCUUUGCUUCUGCAACAUCCGGUGUCUUCCACAUUGGAGCUCCAUGUCUCCAGAACUCCGUUGUGUGAUGGCUUCCACAUGCCGACGGCCUCCAUGGGGAAAAAGCGGUGAGUCUUCACUCCCAUCGUCGUCUCUGCUUUGGACCAUACGACUUCCCGGUCGAAUCUGGCGCCGCCCUUCGCUCUUGCCCGCUGUUUUACACCUGCUCCAGCCUUGCAACGGCGCCCCCUACCCUUGUCCCCGCCCGUGGCCCCGCUGCUGCUCCAGCCUUGCAACGACCAGACGCCUCGCUGAUGGCUUUGGCUCGCCUCGGACGGUCUUUUCCGGCCGCCUCCACCGCUCUGUCUACCGUCCACCGGCGCCCAACGUAACACCUCUGCCCACCCUAUUCGCUCGUUCUAGAUCUCCAUGGAUUUAUGCAACCGCACCCGGUUCCAUUUCGGUUUCAGAGGCUACCAUGCCUCUGUUUCCCGACCCUUCGCUCCAACCCACACAGGCGUAUGCGUACGAGGUUAUUUGGUUGAUGCUGUGAUGGCCUGCUUCAGCUAAUCUGUUCCUGUUUAAGUCCUGCUUACAAGAGGAAUUAGUGACUUCGGUACACCAGGUUCGAAGUUGUAAUGAACAAAAGGUAACUGCGGGGUAAUAGCCUAGUGUCUUUAUUUUCCAUUUUAGUUCUAUAAGGCAAAUUCACAGCCAGCUAGUCAGCUACCUCUCAAAGCUUCUGUCAAAUCUCCGAGGACUCACCCCCUUUGGAGAUCUGGCGAUCUGGGAGCAGAAAUACGAGUCCGAAAUUUAUCACCAGUAUUAUUUCUAAAUUGCUUUCUGCACCACUCCGGUCAUAUCGCUUGACAGAAUUAUUCGCAUAUCUAUCAGUGCAUUCCCUUCCAUCUUCACCAUUUCUGCCAUGCUUAUUUUCCCUAUCGUAACCAUAAAGAAGUCUUCCUUGUGUCAGACGGUAGAAUUCUCCAGACCUUGGUCGUCCUUGGGAGUCCAUGACAUCAAAUCUGUCAUUCCGUGAGGUAAUUCUCAGAGGUGAGCUUCUCCUUGAAUACCUUUUAUUAUGAUCAUCAGAAAUAUCCACUGCUGAACCAUUCCUUCCAUCAACCCAUGUCGAAGCAUUCUUGGAGUAAGUGUUGUUUCUUGAUAGUGGACUGGAACACAUAGCUCGAUCAUCAUAUCCAGGACCAGGUUGUCUCCGAGGUGAAGCCAUUCUACCAAUUUCACCUUUAGUCAUGUGAUUAGGUGGAGAUCUACUAUGCUUCCAUAAAGUUGAACCUCCAUUUGCCAUGAUCUUGCCUCUGUUCCUAGGUGCCCAAUCAUGUGGGGAUCGAGACCUGGACCCAGAAGGAGAUCUGCUGUGAGCACGGGAAAGGUUAAGUGAUGCUCUAAAUGUCGGGGUGCCUCGUUGUCUACUGGACAGCGAGCAAUGGACAGAACUCAAAUUUGCAUCAGUAGUAUGAUUUUUCUCUAUUUCAGAACCAUAUCGACUGGACCGGUUACUAUUUGCACCAAAAGGAUUAAGUUUCUGAUUUAUCUCUGCCUUAUUUAGCUCGUCUGUUGUGGUGACUUUUGCUUCUUGCUGAUGCUGAUUAUGCUUCCGGUUAUGAGCCACAAAACAAUAUUGAUCGGCAACCUGUAGUUUUGCCUCAGUUCGUCGCUUGCUGUCUCUGUUAAAUGACCAAGAAUAAAGUUUAGUACUUCACACAGUAGGCAUCCAAUAAAACAGUAUCAUAAUUCCAAAGGUCAGUAACGCAAACAAACACCUUCUAAAUCUUUUCCGUUUGCUGCAGCAGCCAUGAGAUUCUCCUUGAUCUGUUUGCGCCAUUUAUUCCUCUCUUGAACAAUAUCUUGACUAUUCCCGCUAGUGAACAGCGAGACAUAUUUCUCAUUCUUAGGGAAGAACUACAAAUGAGUUGAGAUAUAGAAGCUUUAGCUCAGGAUUCAAGCAGGUACAGAUAAAAAAUGGUUGAUUAGAACCUCCAAUAUAAUGCAAAGAGAAUGAUACAUCACAGAAAACAAAGUUGUAAUGAUACAUAUAUGUCAUAUCAUCAUGGGCAGGGUAGUAAUGUAGGAAGCUUACUCUGACAUAUUCAAGAUCUUCUCGCAAUUUUGACAGAUUAUUGUUGACACCAUCACCAUUUGAACGUUGUUGCUUCUCGAGUCGCCUUAUCAUCCUCUCAAUCUUCCGUCUCUCCCCUGCUUCUUUAUCACUCCUAUUUUCCAGAUAACAUAUACAUAAAAAAGGGGGGAUGCUCUUUGUUGGCUUCCUGCUUCUGCGUAUAACAUACUAAUUUCGCUAUAUAAUAUACGUAUAUACCUUAACUGCGGCAUCUACUGAUUUGGAUUUUUUCUUCAUAGUAGACCAGGAUAAACUGGAGUUCCAAAUCGUAGUCCGUGUCAACAAGUUCAGUCUCACCAAUCUUAUCAGGUCAUCUCAAGUCCAGUGACUCAUCAACCAG